Molecule: RNA transcript, 1699 nt
Organism: Beta vulgaris subsp. vulgaris (sugar beet)
Lineage: Eukaryota; Viridiplantae; Streptophyta; Magnoliopsida; Caryophyllales; Amaranthaceae
Exons: 3
Source: RefSeq, a predicted model, not a curated record
UCCCUCUAACAUUAGUCUGAAUACGUGAUUGAAAGUUUGGAAUGAAUCAAAGGUGGGUUAUUAUUUAUUAAAAGGAAAAUUACGAGCACUUGAAGUGAUAAUACUUCCUUAAUUACGUGUACUGAUUGGACUUUGGUUAUCAGAUAUAACAGUAUAGUAACUAAUAAUAGAUUGAAAUGUCAGCUUAAUGGAGUAUUGGUCAUUCAUAGUUAGCACUUAGCAACAGAGUGGCUGCAUAGUCAAUUCUUACAUGGCUAGAAGAAGUUCUAUUAGGGGUGACUUUGUUGCAUAUUGUAUAAAACCUCUUUUAUUGCCAAAUAACACAAAUUGUAGCCCGCAGCUAUAAUUUUCGCAUGGCUUGCACAAGGAUCCAACUCAAUUCUUCUCAUCUGUCGCUUGCUUUCUUCUGUUAAAAGGCUUAUCUCUCUUCGUACUCUUCACUUUCUCCAUGAGUGAUAAGAUGUUACAGCACUCCUCUUCAGUGGAUUUCAACCGUAUGAUUCUGCAAGUUCUAAUUUACAAUAGCAUCACAAUUUGGGGUUUCCUUUCACUGAAAUCUUUUGGUGGACAUGCUAAAGCAUUGAUUUAGAGCUUUGAAAAUUAAUUUUGAGGUGACCAAGGUAUAUAGUUUGAAAGAAAGGGGGAGAUCGCUAAAGGAAAUCUAACACAUUGUGAUACGUCUCACUUGGACUGACAAAGCAUGAUUCAGAGACGUGGGAUUGCAUGCCCAAUGAAGAACAGCGGAGUUUGCAUGUCACUUAAAUUGCCAUGAAAUUUCGCCUGAUAGCUUUAGACGAGGUAGCCCAUAGAUAACUAGGGCUUAUUCUUUGGGUCUUAUUAUUUACCGUCCGUAUAUUACUUAAAGUCGCCCGUGUUUUACUCACUACUUCCUAGACCCUAUAGCUAUUUGUUGUUCGUGUUUACUAAACAUUGCCCGUAUUUUUUUCUUUAUAUUCCCCCCUUGGCCUCCCAUUUCACUCCACUCCACUCAUCCACUCUUCCCCUCUCACUUCUAUCCGCUCUCACUCACUUACUUUGUGACUCAUUUGUGACUUGCCCGACCGCCACCACCACCACCACCAGCGGCACCACCAACUUGAGCACCACCGCAAACUUGAGCAGCACCACCACCAUUACCAUAAUAACCCGGGCGUAGUUGAACACCACCACCACGCGUGAGCACCACCACCACCGGUGGCCAACUUCACCAUCACUGGAGUCACCACUACGGGCGACCAACCACCACUGUGAUAAUGUCCGAUGAAUAACCGUCAACACCGCCAUCAUCAUCUGGACGUAAUGUGGUUAGUUUUCGAUUUUAUUCUGGUCAUCACGCUCGGUAACAUUUAAAAUUUCGUUUCCUCCACCGAAGAAAUGGAGUUUUGUUCCGUUUCCUCCACGGAGGAAACGAAAUUUCACUUCGUUACCAUGGUAACGAAGUUUUUUUCGGUUCCAUCUUUUCAAUUUUGUGAAUUUCGAAUGUUAUGCGACUGUUAUUACGUGUUUUUUUUUUUAUAUUUUCGAAUUUUGUUGUGUGUUUCUUUUUUUACUUUCGAAUGUUUAGUGAUAUUAACAUGUUAAUUAGUAUAAUUUUUAUAUAAUAAUUUGAAACAUAAUAUUGUUUUCCAACAAAAAUGUUGAUAGUAUCUUAUAAUUUGUAAUUACAUUCAUUAAAUGUAGUAUGUUAAUAAUUUUUUUU